Molecule: transfer RNA, 72 nt
Filed under: Plasmodium yoelii yoelii
Lineage: Eukaryota; Apicomplexa; Aconoidasida; Haemosporida; Plasmodiidae
Rfam family: tRNA
About the family: Transfer RNA (tRNA) molecules are approximately 80 nucleotides in length.
Source: Rfam by way of RNAcentral
GCCGUGAUAGCUCAGUUGGGAGAGCGUCAGACUGAAAUCUGAAGGUCCCUGGUUCGAUCCCUGGUCACGGCA